Molecule: ribosomal RNA, 480 nt
Filed under: uncultured Desulfuromonas sp.
Lineage: Bacteria; Pseudomonadati; Thermodesulfobacteriota; Desulfuromonadia; Desulfuromonadales; Desulfuromonadaceae
Description: bacterial SSU rRNA
Rfam family: Bacterial small subunit ribosomal RNA
Source: RNAcentral
CUACAAAUGAAUUGACGGGGCCCGCACAAGCGGUGGAGCAUGUGGUUUAAUUCGAUGCAACGCGAAGAACCUUACCAAGGCUUGACAUACACCGGUAACGCCCAGAGAUGGGUGCCCCUUUGUGGUCGGUGGACAGGUGGUGCAUGGUUGUCGUCAGCUCGUGUCGUGAGAUGUUGGGGUUAAGUCCCGCAACGAGCGCAACCCUUGUCCAUAGUUGCCAGCAUUCAGUUGGGCACUCUAAGGAGACUGCCGGUGUUAAACCGGAGGAAGGUGGGGAUGACGUCAAGUCCUCAUGGCCCUUAUGUCCAGGGCUACACACGUGCUACAAUGGCCGGUACAAAGGGCUGCAAGACCGUGAGGUUGAGCGAAUCCCAGAAAGCCGGUCUCAGUUCGGAUUGGAGUCUGCAACUCGACUCCAUGAAGUUGGAAUCGCUAGUAAUCGCGGAUCAGCAUGCCGCGGUGAAUACGUUCCCGGGCCUU